Pan troglodytes (chimpanzee) is the source of this 1517-nucleotide long non-coding RNA. RefSeq lists it as uncharacterized. The record is from RefSeq and is a predicted model, not a curated record. The transcript is spliced from 3 exons. NCBI's taxonomy places the organism in Eukaryota, Metazoa, Chordata, Mammalia, Primates, Hominidae.
GCAGUGAGCCGAGAUCGCGCCACUGCACUCCAGCCUGGCCGACAGAGCGAGACUCCAUCUCCAAACAAAAAUAAUAAUAAUAACCCUGGAUCCUACCCUUUUAUUGAAAAGAUUUUGGAUGCUGACAAAAAAAAAAAAGGAUACAGGUUUGACCUAGUCACAUAUUCCACAACCAGCAGCAUGCUAAAUACUAUAGGAGUUAACAAAAAAAUCAUUAAGACAUAACCCCAUCCUCUAAGAAAUACAAUGUUUGUAGAAAUAGGAGUAUCUGUUUCGCAUUCCUUACUUGGUGGAGGUAGAAUGAGAGCCAAUGAUUCUUCACCAUCACACAGCCGGUUAUCAAGAUAGCCCUUCAGUCACAAGCAAUGCCCAGUGAACUGCAGAUUCUCAUCAGUUCAGAACAAGGCCACACAUGGAGACAAAGUAUGAUGAAUAGUCUGUUACUAUAACCCAGAGGAGCUGACCUUGGCAUUGGUGAGACCCAAAUUAGUAUCAAAGCUCAUAUUUCGUUGAAUAUCCUCUCUCAUAGCCACAGCUUUGACCAGAUGUAUGGAAGCUAAGAAAACAACCUCUUACCUUUAGCAAAUUUGAACUCAGUCAUAAAACUUUUACAAAUAAUUGAAUUAUAUAAAAGAGCUUAUUCUCAACUUAUUUUUCUUUCUUUUUUCCCUUCUUUUAGGACUCAGAUCCUAAACAAUUUCAUUGUAAUAUUAACAAUUACAUGAUUCAUGGUACAUGAUUUUAGGUUUCUUGGUUGUUACAUAACAGAAAUUUAGAAGUUUUUGCAAAUAGGCUCCAUUAUAUUUCAAGUGCUUUUUACUUAAUGAUUUUUUUAAACAAAUUCAGACAAACAAUACUUAACUGGCUUCUAGAAAAUUGUUCUAUUUGAUAUAUCAGUACCUUUCAUUUACCUUUUAAAUAAGUCCUCGAGAAAUAAACUCAGGACAAUUUUAGUUUGCGUGUGUGUGUGUGUGUGUGCACGUGUGCACAUAUGUGUGUUCCUUCCUAAAACCUUCUUUGUGGACAGUCCAAUUCUAAAAUGUAAUUGGAAUUCUGGAAUAUUGUGGCAUGACAUUCUGUGGAAAUUUGACUACUGAAUCCAUUUAUACAACCCAUUUAGAUAAUGUAUGCAUAUUUUCCUUUUUCAAAUAGAAGUAAAUGUGAUGUGAGUACUGUUUCAAAUACUAGUACCAGAAGUUUUUUAAAAAGGUCAAUUUUGCUGAUACAAUUUUGGAGUCUAUUAUGAAUAAAUUGCCCUUUCUCAUGUAUCUUCAUUAUAUGUUAUGCUUCCUAAUAUCCACCAUUUCCCCCCAAAUUUGAAUAAAGUAGAGAUAUUCAAAAUCUUGGCUAAUAAAAGGAAACAUACUCCAUUUACUAACUAGAAAAGUAAGUUCCUUUACUAAAUUUAAGUUAGAUGAUAUACCAAUAUAUUAUGAAAAUUGGUUCUGUUAAUUUUUCCUUUCAAAUUAUUUUCUCUAUUACAAGUUCUACACCUUUAAGAAAGAUUUUUAAUGAUG